RNAcentral lists this ribosomal RNA (351 nucleotides) under uncultured bacterium. Its description in RNAcentral is "bacterial SSU rRNA". It matches the Rfam family "Bacterial small subunit ribosomal RNA", at positions 372 to 739 of the family's 1533-position model. The record is from RNAcentral.
UGGGGGAAACCCUGAUGGUGCGACGCCGCGUGGGGGAUAAGGUCUUCGGAUUGUAAACCCCUGUCAUGUGGGACAUUAAAAAGAUAGUACCACAAGAGGAAGAGACGGCUAACUCUGUGCCAGCAGCCGCGGUAAUACAGAGGUCUCAAGCGUUGUUCGGAAUCACUGGGCGUAAAGCGUGCGUAGGCUGUUUCGUAAGUCGUGUGUGAAAGGCGCGGGCUCAACCCGCGGACGGCACAUGAUACUGCGAGACUAGAGUAAUGGAGGGGGAACCGGAAUUCUCGGUGUAGCAGUGAAAUGCGUAGAUAUCGAGAGGAACACUCGUGGCGAAGGCGGGUUCCUGGACAUUAA